ACAACUCUAUAAAAUAUAGGUAUUGUAUUGUGAAGUGAAAUCACAAAAUUAUCAGUUGAAUUUGGAAGCAUGGCAAAAAACUGUAUCAUCUUCUCCCCUUUCUGGUUCGGUUUGCUUUUCCUAGUUUUUAUUGCUGUCAUUUCUGAAGGAGGAGGAGGCGUGAGUGGUCAAAAUUUAUACUGUGAUCCUGGUACUGGAGUUCCUCGUGGAGCUCAAUCAAUGGAUUUUUGCAGUACCCGUUGUCCAAGUUAUUGUUUGACAACCUAUGGGGGUUUGGGAGUAACUACGGGGAAGUGCUUUAAUAUGCCCAUUGUCAAUACUCAAACACAAAUUUGUUUCUGUUGUGUUGUGUUGAAGUCCUGAAUCUACUGAUACAUUGUUAUUGCACCACCACCACCACCAGUAUACAUGUACCAACUCCAACCACCAUGUUGAAUGCUCACAGAUUUGUCGUACCCAAAAGCUAAUAUUAAAGCAAUAAAAUAAAUUCAAGCUAUGCCGUAGCUCUUAUGAUUUCA
This is a long non-coding RNA of Papaver somniferum (opium poppy), 518 nucleotides long. RefSeq lists it as uncharacterized. NCBI's taxonomy places the organism in Eukaryota, Viridiplantae, Streptophyta, Magnoliopsida, Ranunculales, Papaveraceae. The transcript is spliced from 2 exons. The record is from RefSeq and is a predicted model, not a curated record.